Molecule: long non-coding RNA, 1200 nt
Organism: Bombus pascuorum
Lineage: Eukaryota; Metazoa; Arthropoda; Insecta; Hymenoptera; Apidae
Exons: 2
Source: RefSeq, a predicted model, not a curated record
AUAUCCCCCACCUUCUCACCCUCCUCAUCACGCACUCCUCCCUUCCCUAGCUCUGCGACACCCUCUACUCCCUCUCGCCUCAUCCUGCGCAUUUCGUCCUUCUCGGUUCCCCUCUCUCGCACUCACACUUCUCUAAUUUCUCUUUCUUUCUCGCACUUUAUCUCUUUCGCACCGAUUCUCCCACUCUUUCCUUAGCCCGCAAGGAACGAAUCGCCUGACUUCUUUCUCUCUUCUACUAACCAUCGUCUUCUCUUUCUAUCUUCCUCGAAACCUACACGAACGCAAUCUCUCUCAAUUCGUCUUCCUCUUUCUUGCUCCUCACCCUCGAUCACCCUCCAAAAAGGGCACUUAUUUUCGCCCCUUUGUUCUCACGGUUGUGACCAACUUCUCCUUCUCUCUACCUUUCCUUAAACCUACCAUCUCCCCUUGCCUAUACGCCCUCGUUCCUCGGGCUUCUUUCUCGAACACACCCUCUCCCUCUCUACCUCCUAGCUACUUCUUACGUCGUGUUACUGCGCACUCGUUCUGGCAAAGUCGCCACGAGCUCGUGAAACUACUCGCAAAGUUGUUACCCAUUGACGACGUCAUGUGCGGUUCCAGCGGUUGCGACAGUCGCUUAUCGCUUGUCGUAUUAUUUUGAUAAAGGAAAAUGCGGGUUAAAGGGGCACCGAGUUUCUGUUCAAGUUUUUAAAAUAGAGCCACACGGAUUAUGUUACGGACUCGCAACGUGAUAUCUCAUUCAUCUUUCUUUUGUUAUUUUUUCGUUUCCAUUUGUUGUUAAUGUGAUUUUAAAUGUUAAAGAAAAAAAAAGAGAUUAAAGCUAUAUGGGAUGAUCGAGUAGUAAAAUACCAAGGGUUGGGCAUAGGGAGCUUGGAAAGAAACUCACGAAUGUAAUAAGACGGCUGUGGAGGAGAUGCGUUGCGAGUUACACACGCAACCACGAUUUGCGUCUGCGCACUUUUUUCUGUACAGACUCGCCAAGUAGUAGUGAAUGAUAGAAAGAGACAAACGCUCUCCGCCACGAGGCUGUUUCUCAACUUCUGAGCUGCAAAUGUACAAGUACCAACCACAUUUGCGUAUCCUGGUAGUAGUUUGUCGCUGGUUCAGCUUCCGCUUCGUACCUCGAGGCUUGUUGCGUAUCCGUGGACAAGAAUCCGAGUGUCGUCACGUUGCUAUGGAAAUAAAUGCACCUUCGUCUGA